This 653-nucleotide ribosomal RNA is filed under the name Escherichia fergusonii. RNAcentral's name for it is "bacterial SSU rRNA". It matches the Rfam family "Bacterial small subunit ribosomal RNA", at positions 825 to 1478 of the family's 1533-position model. Lineage: Bacteria; Pseudomonadati; Pseudomonadota; Gammaproteobacteria; Enterobacterales; Enterobacteriaceae. The record is from RNAcentral.
UGUGCCCUUGAGGCGUGGCUUCCGGAGCUAACGCGUUAAGUCGACCGCCUGGGGAGUACGGCCGCAAGGUUAAAACUCAAAUGAAUUGACGGGGGCCCGCACAAGCGGUGGAGCAUGUGGUUUAAUUCGAUGCAACGCGAAGAACCUUACCUGGUCUUGACAUCCACGGAAGUUUUCAGAGAUGAAAAGGUGCCUUCGGGAACCGUGAGACAGGUGCUGCAUGGCUGUCGUCAGCUCGUGUUGUGAAAUGUUGGGUUAAGUCCCGCAACGAGCGCAACCCUUAUCCUUUGUUGCCAGCGGUCCGGCCGGGAACUCAAAGGAGACUGCCAGUGAUAAACUGGAGGAAGGUGGGGAUGACGUCAAGUCAUCAUGGCCCUUACGACCAGGGCUACACACGUGCUACAAUGGCGCAUACAAAGAGAAGCGACCUCGCGAGAGCAAGCGGACCUCAUAAAGUGCGUCGUAGUCCGGAUUGGAGUCUGCAACUCGACUCCAUGAAGUCGGAAUCGCUAGUAAUCGUGGAUCAGAAUGCCACGGUGAAUACGUUCCCGGGCCUUGUACACACCGCCCGUCACACCAUGGGAGUGGGUUGCAAAAGAAGUAGGUAGCUUAACCUUCGGGAGGGCGCUUACCACUUUGUGAUUCAUGACUGG